CAAUAGCGUAUAUUUAAGUUGUUGCAGUUAAAAAGCUCGUAGUCGGAUUUUGGCUGAGAACGAACGGUCCGCCGUUAGGUGUGCACUGUUUGGUCUCAGCUUCCUGGUGAGGAGGUGUGCUUCACGGCCACUUAGUCACCGUGGUUACUUUGAAAAAAUUAGAGUGUUCAAAGCGGGCUUACGCUUGAAUAUAUUAGCAUGGAAUAACACCAUAGGACUCCUGUCCUAUUUCGUUGGUCUCGGGACGGGAGUAAUGAUUAAGAGGAACAGUUGGGGGCAUUCGUAUUUCAUUGUCAGAGGUGAAAUUCUUGGAUUUAUGAAAGACGAACUGCUGCGAAAGCAUUUGCCAAGGAUGUUUUCAUUGA
This 365-nucleotide ribosomal RNA is filed under the name uncultured eukaryote. RNAcentral describes it as "partial 18S ribosomal RNA". It matches the Rfam family "Eukaryotic small subunit ribosomal RNA", at positions 592 to 976 of the family's 1831-position model. The record is from RNAcentral.